RNAcentral lists this transfer RNA (420 nucleotides) under uncultured Pelagibacterales bacterium. RNAcentral's name for it is "partial 16S-23S ribosomal RNA intergenic spacer". The stretch from base 107 to 180 matches the Rfam family "tRNA". The record is from RNAcentral. Lineage: Bacteria; Pseudomonadati; Pseudomonadota; Alphaproteobacteria; Candidatus Pelagibacterales.
CCUCCUUUCUAAGGAUGAGUGAAAGUAAAAUUUCACUCUAAAUAAUAUACAUCGGUAAUGUUGACCGUCCUCAUUUCUCUUCUUAAAGUAAUGUUUCCUUCUUGUAGGGCCGGUAGCUCAGUUGGUUAGAGCACACCCUUGAUAAGGGUGGGGUCGAAAGUUCGAGUCUUUCUCGGCCCACCAUACUUAACUGGGGGAUUAGCUCAGCUGGGAGAGCGCCUGAUUUGCAUUCAGGAGGUCAGCGGUUCGAUCCCGCUAUCCUCCACCAGGAAACAUUUAGUUAUUAAAACUGUAAAUAAAAAUAAUUUAUAUCAAUAUCUAUAUCCGAACAUUAAAAGUUAUUAUUUAAUGUUCAAAAUAAAAAUUUGAUCACAUCAUGGAUUAAUUUUCUUNAAAAAAGAANUUUUUUCUGUGCAUAAA